RNAcentral lists this ribosomal RNA (275 nucleotides) under uncultured prokaryote. RNAcentral's name for it is "partial 16S ribosomal RNA". It matches the Rfam family "Bacterial small subunit ribosomal RNA", at positions 524 to 798 of the family's 1533-position model. The record is from RNAcentral.
UACGUAGGAUCCGAGCGUUAUCCGGAUUUAUUGGGUUUAAAGGGUGCUCAGGCGGGCCAUUAAGUCGGCGGUGAAAUUUUGCGGCUCAACCGUAAAAGUGCCUUCGAUACUGGUGGUCUUGAGUGUGGAUGAGGUAGGCGGAAUUUGUGGUGUAGCGGUGAAAUGCAUAGAUAUCACGAGGAACUCCGAUUGCUAAGGCAGCUUACUAAGCCAUAACUGACGCUCAAGCACGAAGGCGUGGGGAUCAAACAGGAUUAGAUACCCGGGUAGUCCCU